This 253-nucleotide ribosomal RNA is filed under the name uncultured bacterium. RNAcentral's name for it is "partial 16S ribosomal RNA". It matches the Rfam family "Bacterial small subunit ribosomal RNA", at positions 524 to 776 of the family's 1533-position model. The record is from RNAcentral.
UACGAAGGGGGCUAGCGUUGUUCGGAAUUACUGGGCGUAAAGCGCACGUAGGCGGACUUGUAAGUUGGGGGUGAAAUCCCGGGGCUCAACCCCGGAAUUGCCUUCAAGACUGCAAGUCUGGAGGUCAGGAGAGGCGAGCGGAAUUCCGAGUGUAGAGGUGAAAUUCGUAGAUAUUCGGAGGAACACCAGUGGCGAAGGCGGCUCGCUGGACUCAUACUGACGCUGAGGUGUGAAAGCGUCGGGAGCAAACAGG